UAUGGAGAGUUUGAUCCUGGCUCAGGAUGAACGCUGGCGGCGUGCCUAAUACAUGCAAGUCGAGCGAACUGAAGAGGAGCUUGCUCCUUUGACGUUAGCGGCGGACGGGUGAGUAACACGUGGGUAACCUACCUAUAAGACUGGAAUAACUCCGGGAAACCGGGGCUAAUGCCGGAUAAUAUGUUGAACCGCAUGGUUCAACAGUGAAAGACGGUUUUGCUGUCACUUAUAGAUGGACCCGCGCCGCAUUAGCUAGUUGGUGAGGUAACGGCUCACCAAGGCGACGAUGCGUAGCCGACCUGAGAGGGUGAUCGGCCACACUGGAACUGAGACACGGUCCAGACUCCUACGGGAGGCAGCAGUAGGGAAUCUUCCGCAAUGGACGAAAGUCUGACGGAGCAACGCCGCGUGAGUGAUGAAGGUCUUCGGAUCGUAAAGCUCUGUUGUUAGGGAAGAACAAAUGUGUAAGUAACUGUGCACAUCUUGACGGUACCUAACCAGAAAGCCACGGCUAACUACGUGCCAGCAGCCGCGGUAAUACGUAGGUGGCAAGCGUUAUCCGGAAUUAUUGGGCGUAAAGCGCGCGUAGGCGGUUUUUUAAGUCUGAUGUGAAAGCCCACGGCUCAACCGUGGAGGGUCAUUGGAAACUGGAAAACUUGAGUGCAGAAGAGGAAAGUGGAAUUCCAUGUGUAGCGGUGAAAUGCGCAGAGAUAUGGAGGAACACCAGUGGCGAAGGCGGCUUUCUGGUCUGCAACUGACGCUGAUGUGCGAAAGCGUGGGGAUCAAACAGGAUUAGAUACCCUGGUAGUCCACGCCGUAAACGAUGAGUGCUAAGUGUUAGGGGGUUUCCGCCCCUUAGUGCUGCAGCUAACGCAUUAAGCACUCCGCCUGGGGAGUACGGUCGCAAGACUGAAACUCAAAGGAAUUGACGGGGACCCGCACAAGCGGUGGAGCAUGUGGUUUAAUUCGAAGCAACGCGAAGAACCUUACCAAAUCUUGACAUCCUUUGACCGCUCUAGAGAUAGAGUUUUCCUCUUCGGAGGACAAAGUGACAGGUGGUGCAUGGUUGUCGUCAGCUCGUGUCGUGAGAUGUUGGGUUAAGUCCCGCAACGAGCGCAACCCUUAAGCUUAGUUGCCAUCAUUAAGUUGGGCACUCUAGGCUGACUGCCGGUGACAAACCGGAGGAAGGUGGGGAUGACGUCAAAUCAUCAUGCCCCUUAUGAUUUGGGCUACACACGUGCUACAAUGGACAAUACAAAGGGCAGC
RNAcentral lists this ribosomal RNA (1266 nucleotides) under Staphylococcus felis. RNAcentral's name for it is "bacterial SSU rRNA". It matches the Rfam family "Bacterial small subunit ribosomal RNA", at positions 1 to 1250 of the family's 1533-position model. The record is from RNAcentral. Lineage: Bacteria; Bacillati; Bacillota; Bacilli; Caryophanales; Staphylococcaceae.